CGGGUGCACCAGAAGUAGGUAGGCUAACUCGCAAGAGAGGCCGUUACCACGGUGCGCUUCGUGACUGGGGUG
RNAcentral lists this ribosomal RNA (72 nucleotides) under uncultured bacterium. RNAcentral's name for it is "partial 16S ribosomal RNA". The record is from RNAcentral.